RNAcentral lists this unclassified non-coding RNA (373 nucleotides) under soil metagenome. RNAcentral describes it as "partial contains 5.8S ribosomal RNA, internal transcribed spacer 2, and large subunit ribosomal RNA". The stretch from base 1 to 120 matches the Rfam family "5.8S ribosomal RNA", at positions 35 to 154 of the family's 154-position model. The record is from RNAcentral.
GAUGAAGAACGCAGCGAAAUGCGAUAAGUAAUGUGAAUUGCAGAAUUCAGUGAAUCAUCGAAUCUUUGAACGCACAUUGCGCCCGCCAGUAUUCUGGCGGGCAUGCCUGUUCGAGCGUCAUUACAACCCUCAAGCCCCCCGGCUUGGUGUUGGGGACCGGCCACCGGUGCCCUGCUGCUUCCGCGGCAGGCGCACCCGGCCGCCCCCGAAAUGAAUUGGCGGCCCCGUCGCGGCCUCCCUCUGCGUAGAAGCACACAUCUCGCAGCUGGAGCGCGGCGCGGCCACUGCCGUAAAACGCACCAACUUUUUUUACAGUUGACCUCGAAUCAGGUAGGAAUACCCGCUGAACUUAAGCAUAUCAAUAAGCGGAGGA